GCACCCGUAGCUCAGCGGAUUAGAGCGCUUGUCUUCGGAACAAGAGGUCGUAGGUUCGAAUCCUACCGGGUGUACCA
RNAcentral lists this transfer RNA (77 nucleotides) under bacterium. RNAcentral's name for it is "tRNA-Arg". It matches the Rfam family "tRNA". From Rfam's summary of the family: Transfer RNA (tRNA) molecules are approximately 80 nucleotides in length. Their secondary structure includes four short double-helical elements and three loops (D, anti-codon, and T loops). Further hydrogen bonds mediate the characteristic L-shaped molecular structure. tRNAs have two regions of fundamental functional importance: the anti-codon, which is responsible for specific mRNA codon recognition, and the 3' end, to which the tRNAs corresponding amino acid is attached (by aminoacyl-tRNA synthetases). tRNAs cope with the degeneracy of the genetic code in two manners: having more than one tRNA (with a specific anti-codon) for a particular amino acid; and 'wobble' base-pairing, i.e. permitting non-standard base-pairing at the 3rd anti-codon position. The record is from RNAcentral.